AGAGGGCUUCCGGGGCGAACGUCUCGGGGGCCUUUUCUUUUGC
This 43-nucleotide non-coding RNA is filed under the name Methylobacterium sp. 275MFSha3.1. The record is from RNAcentral. Lineage: Bacteria; Pseudomonadati; Pseudomonadota; Alphaproteobacteria; Hyphomicrobiales; Methylobacteriaceae. RNAcentral also lists the same sequence under 4 other names.